CCUACGGGCGGCAGCAGUGAGGAAUAUUGGUCAAUGGCCGGAAGGCUGAACCAGCCAAGUCGCGUGAGGGACGACUGCCCUAUGGGUUGUAAACCUCUUUUAUAAGGGAAGAAUAAAUGCUACGUGUAGCAUGAUGCCUGUACCUUAUGAAUAAGCAUCGGCUAACUCCGUGCCAGCAGCCGCGGUAAUACGGAGGAUGCGAGCGUUAUCCGGAUUUAUUGGGUUUAAAGGGUGCGUAGGCGGAAUGCCAAGUCAGCGGUAAAAUCGCGGGGCUCAACCUCGCUCCGCCGUUGAAACUGGCGUUCUUGAGUGGGCGAGAAGUAUGCGGAAUGCGUGGUGUAGCGGUGAAAUGCGUAGAUAUCGAGAGGAACACUCGUGGCGAAGGCGGGUUCCUGGACAUUAACUGACGCUGAGGCACGAAGGCCAGGGGAGCGAAAGGGAUUAGAUACCCCUGUAGUC
RNAcentral lists this ribosomal RNA (459 nucleotides) under uncultured bacterium. Its description in RNAcentral is "partial 16S ribosomal RNA". It matches the Rfam family "Bacterial small subunit ribosomal RNA", at positions 338 to 795 of the family's 1533-position model. The record is from RNAcentral.